UACGUAGGGUGCAAGCGUUAAUCGGAAUUACUGGGCGUAAAGCGUGCGCAGGCGGCUUUGCAAGACAGAUGUGAAAUCCCCGGGCUUAACCUGGGAACUGCAUUUGUGACUGCAUGGCUAGAGUGCGGCAGGGGGGGAUGGAAUUCCGCGUGUAGCAGUGAAAUGCGUAGAUAUGCGGAGGAACACCGAUGGCGAAGGCGGUUCUCUGGGCCUUACCUGACGCUGAGGAGCGAAAGCGUGGGGAGCGAACAGG
RNAcentral lists this ribosomal RNA (253 nucleotides) under uncultured bacterium. Its description in RNAcentral is "partial 16S ribosomal RNA". It matches the Rfam family "Bacterial small subunit ribosomal RNA", at positions 524 to 776 of the family's 1533-position model. The record is from RNAcentral.